AGCGAACGCUGGCGGCAGGCCUAACACAUGCAAGUCGAACGAACCUUUCGGGGUUAGUGGCGCACGGGUGAGUCACACGUGGGUAAGCUGCCCUAGACUUCGGGAUAACCUCAGGCAACUGGGGCUAAUACGGGAUAGUACCUCCUGCUGCAUUGUGGGGGAUGGGAGGUUGCGGCGGUUGGGGAUGGAUUGGCGGGUUAUCUGCUUGUUGGUGGGGUAGUGGCUUACCAAGGCUUUGACGGAUAGCCGGCCUGGGAGGGUGGCCGGCCACAGUGGGACUGAGGGAGGGCGCAGACGGCAACGGGAGGCAACGGUGGGGAGUCUUACCCAGCGGGAGGGAGUCGGUGGCGGAGGCGCCGCGGGUGGGAAGACGUUUUUUGGGUAGAAAACAGCAUUCGCUUGAUACGAAGCGUUAGUGACGGUACCGGGAGAAGAAGCACCGGCUAACUACGUG
RNAcentral lists this ribosomal RNA (454 nucleotides) under uncultured bacterium. RNAcentral's name for it is "partial 16S ribosomal RNA". It matches the Rfam family "Bacterial small subunit ribosomal RNA", at positions 30 to 507 of the family's 1533-position model. The record is from RNAcentral.